GACGAACGCUGGCGGCGUGCUUAACACAUGCAGGUCGAACGAAGAGCGAUGGAAGCUUGCUUCUAUCAAUCUUAGUGGCGAACGGGUGAGUAACGCGUAAUCAACCUGCCCUUCAGAGGGGGACAACAGUUGGAAACGACUGCUAAUACCGCAUACGAUCUAACCUUGGCAUCGAGGAUGGAUGAAAGGUGGCCUCUAUUUAUAAGCUAUCACUGAAGGAGGGGAUUGCGUCUGAUUAGCUAGUUGGAGGGGUAACGGCCCACCAAGGCGAUGAUCAGUAGCCGGUCUGAGAGGAUGAACGGCCACAUUGGGACUGAGACACGGCCCAGACUCCUACGGGAGGCAGCAGUGGGGAAUCUUCCGCAAUGGACGAAAGUCUGACGGAGCAACGCCGCGUGAGUGAUGACGGCCUUCGGGUUGUAAAGCUCUGUUAAUCGGGACGAAAGGCUUUCUUGCGAAUAGUGAGAAGGAUUGACGGUACCGGAAUAGAAAGCCACGGCUAA
RNAcentral lists this ribosomal RNA (503 nucleotides) under Veillonella dispar. Its description in RNAcentral is "bacterial SSU rRNA". It matches the Rfam family "Bacterial small subunit ribosomal RNA", at positions 28 to 500 of the family's 1533-position model. The record is from RNAcentral. Lineage: Bacteria; Bacillati; Bacillota; Negativicutes; Veillonellales; Veillonellaceae.